RNAcentral lists this ribosomal RNA (914 nucleotides) under Lasiodiplodia pseudotheobromae. RNAcentral's name for it is "partial large subunit ribosomal RNA". It matches the Rfam family "Eukaryotic large subunit ribosomal RNA", at positions 38 to 970 of the family's 3401-position model. The record is from RNAcentral. Lineage: Eukaryota; Fungi; Ascomycota; Dothideomycetes; Botryosphaeriales; Botryosphaeriaceae.
GCAUAUCAAUAAGCGGAGGAAAAGAAACCAACAGGGAUUGCCUUAGUAACGGCGAGUGAAGCGGCAACAGCUCAAAUUUGAAAGCUGGCCCUUUUAGGGUCCGCGUUGUAAUUUGUAGAGGAUGAUUCGGCGAGGGCUCCUGCCUAAGUCCCCUGGAACGGGGCGUCAUAGAGGGUGAGAAUCCCGUAUGCGGUAGGUUGCCUUAGCCAUGUGAAUCUCCUUCGACGAGUCGAGUUGUUUGGGAAUGCAGCUCUAAAUGGGAGGUAAAUUUCUUCUAAAGCUAAAUACUGGCCAGAGACCGAUAGCGCACAAGUAGAGUGAUCGAAAGAUGAAAAGCACUUUGGAAAGAGAGUUAAAAAGUACGUGAAAUUGUUGAAAGGGAAGCGCUUGCAACCAGACUUGUCCGCAGUUGCUCAGCCGGUCUCCUGACCGGCGUACUCUUCUGCGGCCAGGCCAGCAUCAGUUCGGGCGGUCGGAUAAAGGCCUCGGGAAUGUAGCUCCUCUCGGGGAGUGUUAUAGCCCGGGGUGGAAUGCGACCAGCCUGGACUGAGGAUCUCGCUUCGGCAAGGAUGCUGGCGUAAUGGUUGUAAGCGGCCCGUCUUGAAACACGGACCAAGGAGUCUAACAUCUAUGCGAGUGUUCGGGUGUCAAACCCGUACGCGUAAUGAAAGUGAACGGAGGUGGGAACCCGCAAGGGUGCACCAUCGGCCGAUCCUGAUGUCUUCGGAUGGAUUUGAGCAAGAGCAUAGCUGUUGGGACCCGAAAGAUGGUGAACUAUGCCUGAAUAGGGUGAAGCCAGAGGAAACUCUGGUGGAGGCUCGCAGCGGUUCUGACGUGCAAAUCGAUCGUCAAAUUUGGGUAUAGGGGCGAAAGACUAAUCGAACCAUCUAGUAGCUGGUUCCUGCCGAGUUUUC